RNAcentral lists this ribosomal RNA (253 nucleotides) under uncultured bacterium. Its description in RNAcentral is "partial 16S ribosomal RNA". It matches the Rfam family "Bacterial small subunit ribosomal RNA", at positions 524 to 776 of the family's 1533-position model. The record is from RNAcentral.
GACAGAGGGGGCAAGCGUUGUCCGGAGUUACUGGGCGUAAAGGGCGCGGAGGCGGUCUGCGGCGUCGGCGCUGAAAGCGGCCCGCUUAACGGGGCGAGGCGUGCCGAUACGCGCAGGCUCGAGGCGAGCAGAGGGUGGUGGAAUUCCGGGUGGAGCGGUGAAAUGCGUAGAGAUCCGGAGGAACGCCAGUGGGGAAGCCGGCCACCUGGGCUCGGCCUGACGCAGCGGCGCGACAGCGUGGGGAGCAAACCGG